Molecule: long non-coding RNA, 1080 nt
Filed under: Apteryx haastii (Great spotted kiwi)
Lineage: Eukaryota; Metazoa; Chordata; Aves; Apterygiformes; Apterygidae
Description: lncRNA (ENSAHAG00000019682.1)
Source: RNAcentral
AUGUACCAGGUGGGAAGACUUCUACCCUCCCUCAGCCCCAGGCUGCCUUUCCUGAAGAGCUCUGCAUUGCAACCCAGAAACUUUCCAGGACCUGGGAACCGCAGAGGGGCAGAGGCUGGGAGCAGACACGAUGUGCCAUCUUCUGUGCCCAUCUCUGUGAUGGGAGCGUUGGUCUGUGCAAACGCUUGCAUGUCUGCACAAGUGUGCGUGCAGCUACAAGUGUCUUUUGCAGUGCAAAGCAAUGUGCUUCUGCAGGGUUUCUGUGCACUCGCCUAUCUUGUGCAGGUGUGCACACGUGCAUGCAAGUGCCCAUGCAAGGACUUCUGUUUCCAUCUGAGUUGCCAUCGAGUGUGCCCUGGAACUCAAAAGACCUGCUCAGACCGGGGCUCAUGUUCAACCAGGAGCGCCAGGUCCUCUUCUGCCGAACUACUUUCCAGCCGGUUGGCGUGUAGUGGCCUCCCGGGGAAGGAAGGUGUCACGGAGGCAGAGAGCAGCAGAGGCUCCGAGUACUCGGGUGUUAGGACAGGUGCUCGUGGCAGGGCGCUCUGGAGCUGCUGCGGUCGUCUGUCCCGCUCGUCGGCGCAGCCCGCCGUUACUGUGCGCAGACGGGGCCGCCGCGCGGUGCAGCUCGAGUCGCGGUCGCCGCCAGCACGGACGCGCGCGCUGCCCUCGGGUGACGGGAGCGCAGAACGGCAGCCAGGCGGAGAACGCAUGCGCACUGGGCUCGCCGCGCUCCCUGCUGCCCUCGAGCGUCGCAAAAGCAGCACUGCACUCGUGACCGCGCGCAUGCGCACGGCGUCCCGCCGGGCUCUCCUGCCCUCGGGUGGGGAAACGCAGUACUGCGCCCAAAGGGGGCGCGCAUGCGCACCGCGUUCCAGUGUGCUCGCUCCUGCCAGCGGGUGGCGAAAAAGAAGUGCUGUGGCCAACAAGACAGUGCAUGCGCACUGCGUUCCCGCAUGCUCAGCACUGCCACCGAGCAUCGAAAACUCAGUACUGCACAUGAAACGCGCGCACACACUCUGCCUUCUGCUGUACUUGGUGCCACCUUCGAGUGUUGAAAACCCAGCACUGUGCCUGUAA